AUUGAACGCUGGCGGCAGGCUUAACACAUGCAAGUCGAGCGGGGUGAUGGUGCUUGCACUAUCACUUAGCGGCGGACGGGUGAGUAAUGCUUAGGAAUCUGCCUAUUAGUGGGGGACAACAUCUCGAAAGGGAUGCUAAUACCGCAUACGUCCUACGGGAGAAAGCAGGGGAUCACCUGUGACCUUGCGCUAAUAGAUGAGCCUAAGUCGGAUUAGCUAGUUGGUGGGGUAAAGGCCUACCAAGGCGACGAUCUGUAGCGGGUCUGAGAGGAUGAUCCGCCACACUGGGACUGAGACACGGCCCAGACUCCUACGGGAGGCAGCAGUGGGGAAUAUUGGACAAUGGGGGGAACCCUGAUCCAGCCAUGCCGCGUGUGUGAAGAAGGCCUUAUGGUUGUAAAGCACUUUAAGCGAGGAGGAGGCUCUUUUGGUUAAUACCCAAGAUGAGUGGACGUUACUCGCAGAAUAAGCACCGGCUAACUCUGUGCCAGCAGCCGCGGUAA
RNAcentral lists this ribosomal RNA (503 nucleotides) under uncultured bacterium. RNAcentral describes it as "partial 16S ribosomal RNA". It matches the Rfam family "Bacterial small subunit ribosomal RNA", at positions 30 to 523 of the family's 1533-position model. The record is from RNAcentral.